RNAcentral lists this long non-coding RNA (423 nucleotides) under Phoenix dactylifera (date palm). RNAcentral's name for it is "long non-coding RNA (PDAC_LNC007218)". Lineage: Eukaryota; Viridiplantae; Streptophyta; Magnoliopsida; Arecales; Arecaceae. The record is from RNAcentral.
UAGGUAUGGGUCUAAAGUCAUUUUAAACUUUUGUCACCAGUAAUGGAAACCCAAUCUUUUCUAUUCUUUGUAAAUAUUAAAGGUUUAAAGGGUAAUAACAAAUUUCUAAUUAGUGACGGUUUCAAGUAUUAGAGGCUAAUACUUAUUAAAGGAGGGUAGGUAUAGAUAUUGCCUUUAAUGAAGUUUGUUUGUUCGGUUUGAACAUGGGAGCCAUGUACUAAGGCUCAAAGAAACUUCACUUAUAUGAACAUAGAAGUGGUGCCGCUUCUAACAAAAAAUUGGAUCUUAUUUUUUUGUACAUGUUUAUGAAUCCAGGAUGUAGCACAAGGCCAUAUACGGUGCUAAAUCUUACGGUAUACUUUAGAAUUAAAAAAAAGGGUAGAGUUUGUGUGUGUGGUACUUCCAGCUUUGAUAAUAAGGAAU